GCGGAAGUGGUGGAACUGGUAGACACACCAUCUUGAGGGGGUGGCGCCCGAAAGGGCAUGCGGGUUCAAGUCCCGCCUUCCGCA
RNAcentral lists this transfer RNA (84 nucleotides) under Bacteroidota bacterium. Its description in RNAcentral is "tRNA-Leu". It matches the Rfam family "tRNA". Rfam says of the family: Transfer RNA (tRNA) molecules are approximately 80 nucleotides in length. Lineage: Bacteria; Pseudomonadati; Bacteroidota. The record is from RNAcentral. RNAcentral also lists the same sequence under 1 other name.